Long non-coding RNA from Aethina tumida (small hive beetle), 633 nucleotides. RefSeq lists it as uncharacterized. The record is from RefSeq and is a predicted model, not a curated record. Lineage: Eukaryota; Metazoa; Arthropoda; Insecta; Coleoptera; Nitidulidae. The transcript is spliced from 3 exons.
GAUCUAUUAGUGCUUUAAAUUGCUGGUUUAAUAUUCCCCUUGUUACAAAAUAAUUACUUAAGUAUCGUUUUAUUGUUAGGUCGUUAAAAUUGAGAUGUAUACUGUGAAGUGGCAGGAAGUUGUUGAAAGCUUUUCUUAUGUACUCAGUUUAACAUAAUUUGUACUCUUUAAAAUCUAGUUUUCCAACAAGAUAGUGUCCUAACUGACCAUUUACUUCAUUUUUGUGUUCUAUUUUCUCAGAACCGGAUUUAACAUCGAUUAAACACAUGUAGGACGUCAUAGAUAAGAGGCUUUAGCCUCCAGAGUCUGUGAAGAAGCUCCAGCAUCAAGUUGAGGAGACUUGGAAAGUGGUACCACCUCAUUACAUCAACACCAAGACGAGUUAAUGAGUGACUGAACCAUCGUCAUCAUUGAUUCUGAUUAACUAUCUCUGUAUUCUAUUUUCUGUGACCCAGAACCGGACUUACCACCAAUUGAACACAUAUAGGACAUUAUAGAAAAUAGACUUCAACUUCCAGAGUCUUUGGAGAAGCUCCAGUAGCAAGUUAAGGAGGGUUAGAAAGUGGUACCACAAACGAAAUUGACCACAUCAUUACAUCAACACCAAAGCGAUACCUUUGUAUUGUAUUUUCU